This 467-nucleotide ribosomal RNA is filed under the name uncultured bacterium. RNAcentral describes it as "bacterial SSU rRNA". It matches the Rfam family "Bacterial small subunit ribosomal RNA", at positions 330 to 793 of the family's 1533-position model. The record is from RNAcentral.
GCCAGACUCCUACGGGAGGCAGCAGUGAGGAAUAUUGGUCAAUGGGCUUACGCCUGAACCAGCCAAGUCGCGUGAGGGAAGACUGCCCUAUGGGUUGUAAACCUCUUUUGUCAGGGAGCAACGCCGGCUACGUGUAGCCGGACUGAGAGUACCUGAAGAAAAAGCAUCGGCUAACUCCGUGCCAGCAGCCGCGGUAAUACGUAGGGGGCAAGCGUUAUCCGGAUUUACUGGGUGUAAAGGGAGCGUAGACGGCGAUGCAAGUCUGAAGUGAAAGCCCGGGGCUCAACCCCGGGACUGCUUUGGAAACUGUAUGGCUGGAGUACUGGAGAGGCAAGCGGAAUUCCUAGUGUAGCGGUGAAAUGCGUAGAUAUUAGGAAGAACACCAGUGGCGAAGGCGGCUUGCUGGACAGUAACUGACGUUGAGGCUCGAAAGCGUGGGGAGCAAACAGGAUUAGAUACCCUCGUAU